This 1252-nucleotide long non-coding RNA is filed under the name Brachypodium distachyon (stiff brome). RNAcentral describes it as "long non-coding RNA (BDIS_LNC003700)". Lineage: Eukaryota; Viridiplantae; Streptophyta; Magnoliopsida; Poales; Poaceae. The record is from RNAcentral.
ACCCACCCACCCCUUCUCCUUCUCACGUCUGGAAAACACGUUGAAAUUGGUCUUCUCCAUGCGGAUCUGAGAAACCUGGUUCAUGGCGGCGGCCAUGGAGUUCGAUCAUGAGCUUGGGUCAGGUGCAGGCGUCAGCUGCUACGGCAAGCAGCGUCGGUGGCGAGCUUGGGCGACGGCUGCGGCGACGGCGGCGAGCCUGGGGGACGGCCAUGGCGCAGGCGGCGGUGCAGGGUCGGCUGCGGAGGCGAGCGACGACGGCGGCAAGCUUGGGUGACGGCCAUGGUGCAGGCGGCGGUGCAGGCAUCGGCUGCGGAGGCGAGCGGAGACGAUGGCGAGCUUGGACGGUGGCGCGGCGGCGGGCUUGUGCUUCAGAUUUCUUCCUUGUUAAUUGAUGGCUAAUUGAUGUUGGGCAGAUUUUUUCUGAAAUUUUGUGCCAAUUGAUGGUUAAAAUCUUGCGCUAAUUGAUGGGUCAGGCCAUACUCGUUGCUUGCUAAUUGAUGGCUAAUUGAUUUUACGCUAAUUUCCGAUUAUACGGUUAUUAAUGCGGGAUAAUGGGUCGGGUUUGGGUCGGCGCUGACAUGGCAACUGACAUGUGGGCCCCAUCGGCUAGGGAUUGAGCAAAACCACCAACAUAAGCGGUUUUCGAGGAAGUGAUACAACUUGACAAAAAAAUAUGGUUUUUCGGACGGCUUGUGUUAACUGUGGCUCCACGACACAACUGCCCCAAAAAGUGUGACUCUAAACAAUAAGCCGUAAGACCGUCAACAAGCAGAGUUAGCGCAAAAUUCAUAAAGUAAUUGUUUUGACGAAAAUAGCCCCCAGUUAUUUAAAGUUUGGUGAAAAACAACCUCGGUAGGAAAUAAGAUUUUUUUAUAGUUUUGGGAAAUAAGAUAAAACUUAUUUUCUAUAGUUUCGGGAAAUAAGAUUUUUUUUUUGGUGAAAGUCUUUGUUCUAAUUCAUGUGUUUUUUUAUGGAAGAUGGACGAUCAGGCUCAGCGACUCAGAAGUUGCCGUAGUCAGGUCCUUUUUCUAAUAGCAUCUGAUCUUUUCUAAUAAGAGUACUAUACACUUGAUUUUAAACAUAAUGAUUUUUAUCAGAUAUUUAUUGGUCACAACUCACAAGCACGGCGGCCACACAGACGCGCUGUGCUCGGAAAAAAGCAAAAUGCACUUUCGUCUCGAGUUGGAAGGAUGACUGAAGGAGUGACUACAUGACUGAUACGGAAACUGUCGAAGAGUUGUGGUCAAAGUUG